GACGAACGCUGGCGGCGUGCCUAAUACAUGCAAGUCGAGCGAAGUUUUUCUGGUGCUUGCACUAGAAAAACUUAGCGGCGAACGGGUGAGUAACACGUAAAGAACCUGCCUCAUAGACUGGGACAACUAUUGGAAACGAUAGCUAAUACCGGAUAACAGCAUUAACUGCAUGGUUGAUGUUUAAAAGUUGGUUAUGCUAACACUAUGAGAUGGCUUUGCGGUGCAUUAGCUGGUUGGUGGGGUAAAGGCCUACCAAGGCGACGAUGCAUAGCCGACCUGAGAGGGUGAUCGGCCACACUGGGACUGAGACACGGCCCAGACUCCUACGGGAGGCAGCAGUAGGGAAUCUUCCGCAAUGGGCGAAAGCCUGACGGAGCAACGCCGCGUGAGUGAAGAAGGAUUUCGGUUCGUAAAGCUCUGUUGUUAGGGAAGAAUGAUUGUGUAGUAACUAUACACAGUAGAGACGGUACCUAACCAGAAAGCCACGGCUAACUACGUGCCAGCAGCCGCGGUAAUACGUAGGUGGCAAGCGUUGUCCGGAAUUAUUGGGCGUAAAGCGCGCGCAGGUGGUUUAAUAAGUCUGAUGUGAAAGCCCACGGCUCAACCGUGGAGGGUCAUUGGAAACUGUUAAACUUGAGUGCAGGAGAGAAAAGUGGAAUUCCUAGUGUAGCGGUGAAAUGCGUAGAGAUUAGGAGGAACACCAGUGGCGAAGGCGGCUUUUUGGCCUGUAACUGACACUGAGGCGCGAAAGCGUGGGGAGCAAACAGG
Molecule: ribosomal RNA, 768 nt
Filed under: uncultured bacterium
Lineage: Bacteria
Description: bacterial SSU rRNA
Rfam family: Bacterial small subunit ribosomal RNA
Source: RNAcentral